This 750-nucleotide ribosomal RNA is filed under the name Microbacterium sp. LEM166. Its description in RNAcentral is "bacterial SSU rRNA". It matches the Rfam family "Bacterial small subunit ribosomal RNA", at positions 93 to 855 of the family's 1533-position model. The record is from RNAcentral. Lineage: Bacteria; Bacillati; Actinomycetota; Actinomycetes; Micrococcales; Microbacteriaceae.
UACUGGCGAAAGGGUGAGUAACAAGUGAGCAAUCUGCCCCUCACUCUGGGAUAAGCGCUGGAAACGGCGUCUAAUACUGGAUACGAGCUGCGACCGCAUGGUCAGUAGUUGGAAAGAAUUUCGGUGGGGGAUGAGCUCGCGGCCUAUCAGCUUGUUGGUGAGGUAAUGGCUCACCAAGGCGUCGACGGGUAGCCGGCCUGAGAGGGUGACCGGCCACACUGGGACUGAGACACGGCCCAGACUCCUACGGGAGGCAGCAGUGGGGAAUAUUGCACAAUGGGCGGAAGCCUGAUGCAGCAACGCCGCGUGAGGGAUGACGGCCUUCGGGUUGUAAACCUCUUUUAGCAGGGAAGAAGCGAAAGUGACGGUACCUGCAGAAAAAGCGCCGGCUAACUACGUGCCAGCAGCCGCGGUAAUACGUAGGGCGCAAGCGUUAUCCGGAAUUAUUGGGCGUAAAGAGCUCGUAGGCGGUUUGUCGCGUCUGCUGUGAAAUCUGGAGGCUCAACCUCCAGCCUGCAGUGGGUACGGGCAGACUAGAGUGCGGUAGGGGAGAUUGGAAUUCCUGGUGUAGCGGUGGAAUGCGCAGAUAUCAGGAGGAACACCGAUGGCGAAGGCAGAUCUCUGGGCCGUAACUGACGCUGAGGAGCGAAAGGGUGGGGAGCAAACAGGCUUAGAUACCCUGGUAGUCCACCCCGUAAACGUUGGGAACUAGUUGUGGGGUCCAUUCCACGGAUUCCGUGACGCAGCUAA